Bemisia tabaci is the source of this 680-nucleotide non-coding RNA. Lineage: Eukaryota; Metazoa; Arthropoda; Insecta; Hemiptera; Aleyrodidae. The record is from RefSeq and is a predicted model, not a curated record.
UGAGAAUAACAAACUCUGGAUCCGAGAAUAACAAACAGGAUUUGCCAGAAUGUUCGCUACGGACUGUUCAAGAAUCUGCUCAGGGCAAGGAAGGCAACAUCGACGUAACAAGACCUGGGAAUUGCGGAACAAGACCCGGGGUCAUUAUUCUGGGUUUGAAGCCGAGAUAAAUCGGAGUCCAGCUCAAAUUAGGACAGUCGAAGCUCUGUCGACGAACCGAUCUCUCGACGCCUCUCUCACGACGCAUGAAUUCGGUAUUCAAUCCUAUAAACGGCCCGAUUCGGCAACGUCGCGCGGAUGGCGUUCGUCCGAAAUUGACUUUUGCAUGGGUUCUAAUACCCGUUGUCGCUUUAAUUGAUCCGUCUUUUGUCUGGGUCGGUUCAUGCCGCCUGCUUUCAUUACCGCACUCAUGCAUUCCUAAUCCCCCGAGUCCAACUGUGCUUAAAACUCCGCCUCAAACACCUUAUCUAUGGUGAUAGGAACCCGGAAAACCGAAUCUAGGAAUAUCGGAGGUAGCCAUGCCCCUUCCGAAAAAAAUCGAUUAAUUAGAUAUCACACCAAACUCUCUGGAUGAAAUAGUUUCAUUUGUGAAAUAAGUUACGAAUGUUUGUCAUUGAGAUGUUCAUUUAACUCCAUUGGAUUCAGUUGCGAAUAAACUUUUCUGAAGAUUUUCACCCGUA